UAUAACGAUGUACAUAGUAUUCCACUGCAUUAAAACAAGUCCGAUAACCGCUGCAACCUAUCCUGAUCUCAGAUGAGAAUCUGGCUGGAUAUUGAGAUGGAUGUCUCCGUCUAGGGAGGCACGAGUUGAAUAUCGACCGAGACUUCUCUGAUGGGCUCUUGUGUACACGUGUAAUUUGUGUCUUCCAAAGAUUUUAUCCAUGUUAUUCAGACUUUGCAGAUGAAAUUCUACGCUAGAUGAAUACAUUUUCAAUGCCAGUGACACAGAUGAAAUAUUGACCACGAUUUGUGAACGAGCAUAGAAAGGAAAGAGAUGAAAAGAUGAGAAAGAGGAAGGAGAAGAGCGCAUUGGCGUAGAUGACUUAAGACAUUUUUGAUUUGAUAAUAAAAUUUGAUUUGAAACUU
Long non-coding RNA from Ostrea edulis (European flat oyster), 404 nucleotides. RefSeq lists it as uncharacterized. The transcript has 2 exons. Lineage: Eukaryota; Metazoa; Mollusca; Bivalvia; Ostreida; Ostreidae. The record is from RefSeq and is a predicted model, not a curated record.